GAUGAACGCUGGCGGCGUGCCUAAUACAUGCAAGUCGAGCGAACAGACGAGGAGCUUGCUCCUCUGACGUUAGCGGCGGACGGGUGAGUAACACGUGGAUAACCUACCUAUAAGACUGGGAUAACUUCGGGAAACCGGAGCUAAUACCGGAUAAUAUAUUGAACCGCAUGGUUCAAUAGAGAAAGACGGUUUUGCUGUCACUUAUAGAUGGAUCCGCGCCGCAUUAGCUAGUUGGUAAGGUAACGGCUUACCAAGGCAACGAUGCGUAGCCGACCUGAGAGGGUGCUCGGCCACACUGGAACUGAGACACGGUCCCGACUCCUACGGGAGGCAGCCGUAGGGAAUCUUCCGCCAUGGGCGAAAGCCUGACGGAGCAACGCCGCGUGAGUGAUUAAGGUCUUCGGAUCCUAAAACUCUGUUAUUAGGGAAGAACAAAUGUGUAAGUAACUAUGCACGUCUUGACGGUACCUAAUCAGAAAGCCACGGCUAACUACGUG
Molecule: ribosomal RNA, 497 nt
Filed under: uncultured bacterium
Lineage: Bacteria
Description: partial 16S ribosomal RNA
Rfam family: Bacterial small subunit ribosomal RNA
Source: RNAcentral